AGCUCCAAUAGCGUAUAUUAAAGUUGUUGCGGUUAAAAAGCUCGUAGUUGGACUUCUUCUUUGAAACGCCGGUCUACACCAUGUGUAUGUAUCUGGUCGGGUCAGAGAAUCCGUUCGUAAAUUCACUCUGCGCUUGAUUGCGUGGAUGGAGGUGCGAACCUUUUACUUUGAGGAAAUUAGAGUGUUCACGGCAGGCUAACGCCAUGAAUAUAUUAGCAUGGAAUAAUAAUAUAGGAUCUCGGUUCUAUUUUGUUGGUUUCUAGGAUUGAGAUAAUGAUUAAUAGGGACAAUUGGGGGCAUUCGUAUCAAGACGUCAGAGGUGGAAUUCUUGGAUUGUCUUGCGACGAACUACUGCGAAAGCAUUUGCCAAGGAUGUUUUCA
Molecule: ribosomal RNA, 381 nt
Filed under: uncultured eukaryote
Lineage: Eukaryota
Description: SSU rRNA
Rfam family: Eukaryotic small subunit ribosomal RNA
Source: RNAcentral